RNAcentral lists this non-coding RNA (24 nucleotides) under Arabidopsis thaliana (thale cress). The record is from RNAcentral. Lineage: Eukaryota; Viridiplantae; Streptophyta; Magnoliopsida; Brassicales; Brassicaceae.
UAGAAAGGAUUGGGGUAGUUACAU